Molecule: ribosomal RNA, 772 nt
Filed under: uncultured bacterium
Lineage: Bacteria
Description: bacterial SSU rRNA
Rfam family: Bacterial small subunit ribosomal RNA
Source: RNAcentral
AGAGUUUGAUCAUGGCUCAGGACGAACGCUGGCGGCGUGCUUAACACAUGCAAGUCGAACGGAAAGGCCCUUCGGGGUGCUCGAGUGGCGAACGGGUGAGUAACACGUGGGUGAUCUGCCCUGCACUUUGGGAUAAGCCUGGGAAACUGGGUCUAAUACCGGAUAGGACUCCGAGAUGCAUGUCUUGGGGUGGAAAGCUUUUGCGGUGUGGGAUGGGCCCGCGGCCUAUCAGCUUGUUGGUGGGGUGAUGGCCUACCAAGGCGACGACGGGUAGCCGGCCUGAGAGGGUGUCCGGCCACACUGGGACUGAGAUACGGCCCAGACUCCUACGGGAGGCAGCAGUGGGGAAUAUUGCACAAUGGGCGCAAGCCUGAUGCAGCGACGCCGCGUGAGGGAUGACGGCCUUCGGGUUGUAAACCUCUUUCAGUACCGACGAAGCGUAAGUGACGGUAGGUACAGAAGAAGCACCGGCCAACUACGUGCCAGCAGCCGCGGUAAUACGUAGGGUGCGAGCGUUGUCCGGAAUUACUGGGCGUAAAAGAGCUCGUAGGUGGUUUGUCGCGUUGUUCGUGAAAACUCACAGCUUAACUGUGGGCGUGCGGGCGAUACGGGCAGACUGGAGUACUGCAGGGGAGACUGGAAUUCCUGGUGUAGCGGUGGAAUGCGCAGAUAUCAGGAGGAACACCGGUGGCGAAGGCGGGUCUCUGGGCAGUAACUGACGCUGAGGAGCGAAAGCGUGGGGAGCGAACAGGAUUAGAUACCCUAGUAGUCC